Sinocyclocheilus anshuiensis is the source of this 85-nucleotide long non-coding RNA. RefSeq lists it as uncharacterized. The transcript has 3 exons. The record is from RefSeq and is a predicted model, not a curated record. Lineage: Eukaryota; Metazoa; Chordata; Actinopteri; Cypriniformes; Cyprinidae.
CUUUCUCAGAGUUUUGGGGUAUUGCUCUGCAGAGUUCUCUCAGUUUUAUUGUCUCUGAAAAUAAAAUCUCUUCUGGCAUCAAAAC